This 73-nucleotide transfer RNA is filed under the name Zootermopsis nevadensis. It matches the Rfam family "tRNA". Rfam says of the family: Transfer RNA (tRNA) molecules are approximately 80 nucleotides in length. Their secondary structure includes four short double-helical elements and three loops (D, anti-codon, and T loops). Further hydrogen bonds mediate the characteristic L-shaped molecular structure. tRNAs have two regions of fundamental functional importance: the anti-codon, which is responsible for specific mRNA codon recognition, and the 3' end, to which the tRNAs corresponding amino acid is attached (by aminoacyl-tRNA synthetases). tRNAs cope with the degeneracy of the genetic code in two manners: having more than one tRNA (with a specific anti-codon) for a particular amino acid; and 'wobble' base-pairing, i.e. permitting non-standard base-pairing at the 3rd anti-codon position. The record is from Rfam by way of RNAcentral. Lineage: Eukaryota; Metazoa; Arthropoda; Insecta; Blattodea; Termopsidae.
GCCACGGUGGUCUAGCUGUUAGAACGCUGGCCUUGUAAUCCUGGAGUCUCGGGUUCGAUUCCCGGCGGUGCCC